CAAUUAGCGGGAUUAUUGUUAUCCCAUAAUUUUCUCUCUCCCCACAAAGUUUUGCCGUUUCUUCUCUGUUGGCCUAAUUCCAUAAUUUUCUCACAGAUGCGAGCGCGGAUCGCAGCCGCCGCCGCCCGCCCCUCCUCCUCUACUUCCCCAUGGGUGCGAACAAAUGGAGCCAACCACCUGAACUGACUGGAGCGGCGAGUGGCGGAGGAAGGGAGAGAGCGGUGGAGGAAGGGAGAGAUGGCAUCGGCAGCGGCGGGGGAGAGGAGAGGGGUCCCGGCGGGAUGCAUCUGGAAAGACCCCGAGGUCCGAGGGUCAUUUCCGCCACCACGCGCGCCGUUGCCGCCGCGUGCCUCCGCCAGAUCCUCGCCGUCUACGCCUCCUUCGCCGACCUCGCCGCGCAGCACUCCGCCCGUCCGCCGGCCGCUGGACUCCGUCAAAGGGCCGACCACGUGAUGCCAGAUUCAAGAUUGCUUGGUAAUGGAUAAGAUCAGCCCGUGUGGCCAGCAGCAUAGUUAGGCCAAUCCAUUGUUAGAAGGGAGCACCUGAAACUCAUCUAGCUGAGACAUAACUAUGGUCUCAUUCACGGAUGAUGUCCUGUUCUAAUGUUGGGUGGUGUUUUUUUGUCACAUGAGGUGGAGUUCGUGCUUGUAACAUCAGUAGAAUGUGGACUACUAGGAGCACUCAGUGGCAGAUUGCUAUCAUGACAUAUAUUUUGUACAAUUGAAGUUGCUUGAAAGGCACACCAAAAUACUGAUGUAGUUUAUCUACCUUCUACGUCCUUCUAGAGGUACCAAUGAUGAAAUGUUUUCUGCAGGUCUCAAGCAUGGUUUCUUUCUGAUUGCGAGGAUUUUUACAAAGAGGAUGUUUGAGAAGGUAAUCAAAUAACUAUACAUGUUUUCUAAGCAUCUAAGAGGAUUUCGUGUUCAGUUUCGUGCUCGAAUUUUAGAGCCCAAAUGUAGAGAUGCAUAGCUUGAUUCUAGAAGUAAGGGUGGCCUCGUUUGAUAUACCUGGGUUGUGAAGAGGUGAUCGUGUGGCUGAAGAAUGAUGUGAAUGAUUGGAAGUGCUCCAACCAGGAAACAUUCGGGUGGUGCCUGCAUUGGACACAAUGUAUUUUAGGAUGAGACCAUUCAUGUGGAACUUUUUAGUGAGCAAAUAAAGACCGAGCAAAACUAUGGGUUGUAUUUGUUGUUGUGCUAAAGAGACUGUCAGAGUGCAUUGUUGAGCUCUGAAAUUUAUCAAGUUUGUGUCAGCUGUGGUAGAAGGCCAGGGUGCAGAAUUUGUGAGGUGUUAUAUACACAAACCAAUACAUUCUUGUUUCGGAGGAGUUGUUUGCUUUCCUGGUGCCAAGGCACUUUGGAAUGCCUGGGUGCCAUUGAAUUGCAAGAUUUUCAUUUGCUUGGCUUCGCAGUAUCGAGUAUGGACAUCAGAUCGUCAGAUCAGAAGAGGACCGCAGGACCAUAUUUUGCCUCGUUUUCUCUGAGCAGGAAGAGGACAUUAUCGAUCUCAUCCUUCUUCAGUGCAUAUAUGCUCGAUAGCUAUGGCAUCAUUGUCUUCGAUCGACUCAUCUUGAUGUUGUCCCUGCUCCUUCUGUCAUCGAUAAUCUUCAGCUUUGGUGGGGAGAUCUCGCCAGUUCAUUCCCAAAGCUAAACGAUGUGGUUUUUAUUCUCUUGUGAUGUUUGUGUGCUAGAGCCUAUGGAAGCAACACAGUGCUAGGUUGUUCAAUAAUGCUCAGCUUCAAGUCAACAAGGAAACGUUCUGUGUUCUCAUUCUUUCUGACCUAAUUGCGAGAGGGAAGAGGAUGUCUGGAUUAUGUGAGUAGUCCAUUGUAAUAUGUGUUGGUGGUGGAGUGUGGAUGUCGUCCCCCUUUGGGGUGCUCUUGUUACUUGUGUUCUCUUGUGCUUGAUUUAAUGUAUACAUCACCUGAGACAUGCCUUGUGUGCAUGAUUACUAAUUAUGUACUCAUGUUCAUCUGA
This is a long non-coding RNA of Triticum dicoccoides, 1973 nucleotides long. RefSeq lists it as uncharacterized. The record is from RefSeq and is a predicted model, not a curated record. Lineage: Eukaryota; Viridiplantae; Streptophyta; Magnoliopsida; Poales; Poaceae. The transcript is spliced from 4 exons.